GUCGAGCGGACAGAUGGGAGCUUGCUCCCUGAUGUUAGCGGCGGACGGGUGAGUAACACGUGGGUAACCUGCCUGUAAGACUGGGAUAACUCCGGGAAACCGGGGCUAAUACCGGAUGGUUGUUUGAACCGCAUGGUUCAAACAUAAAAGGUGGCUUCGGCUACCACUUACAGAUGGACCCGCGGCGCAUUAGCUAGUUGGUGAGGUAACGGCUCACCAAGGCGACGAUGCGUAGCCGACCUGAGAGGGUGAUCGGCCACACUGGGACUGAGACACGGCCCAGACUCCUACGGGAGGCAGCAGUAGGGAAUCUUCCGCAAUGGACGAAAGUCUGACGGAGCAACGCCGCGUGAGUGAUGAAGGUUUUCGGAUCGUAAAGCUCUGUUGUUAGGGAAGAACAAGUACCGUUCGAAUAGGGCGGUACCUUGACGGUACCUAACCAGAAAGCCACGGCUAACUACGUGCCAGCAGCCGCGGUAAUACGUAGGUGGCAAGCGUUGUCCGGAAUUAUUGGGCGUAAAGGGCUCGCAGGCGGUUUCUUAAGUCUGAUGUGAAAGCCCCCGGCUCAACCGGGGAGGGUCAUUGGAAACUGGGGAACUUGAGUGCAGAAGAGGAGAGUGGAAUUCCACGUGUAGCGGUGAAAUGCGUAGAGAUGUGGAGGAACACCAGUGGCGAAGGCGACUCUCUGGUCUGUAACUGACGCUGAGGAGCGAAAGCGUGGGGAGCGAACAGGAUUAGA
This 739-nucleotide ribosomal RNA is filed under the name Bacillus spizizenii ATCC 6633 = JCM 2499. Its description in RNAcentral is "bacterial SSU rRNA". It matches the Rfam family "Bacterial small subunit ribosomal RNA", at positions 61 to 782 of the family's 1533-position model. Lineage: Bacteria; Bacillati; Bacillota; Bacilli; Caryophanales; Bacillaceae. The record is from RNAcentral.